GGGUUGGUAGCUCAGUGGUAGAGCAUCUGGCUUUUAACCAGUUGGCCGGCAGUUCGAUCCUGCCCCAACCCACCA
RNAcentral lists this transfer RNA (75 nucleotides) under bacterium DOLZORAL124_38_8. Its description in RNAcentral is "tRNA-Lys". It matches the Rfam family "tRNA". From Rfam's summary of the family: Transfer RNA (tRNA) molecules are approximately 80 nucleotides in length. Their secondary structure includes four short double-helical elements and three loops (D, anti-codon, and T loops). The record is from RNAcentral.